CUGCUGUGUAUAUCUAUUCCAUAUUUGCCUGGGUCAGUCUUUGCUUCAGGAUGAUCAUCGCUCUGGAGAGAUGUUUCUCCAUCUCCUGCCCGACGUCAAACUGCAUCACACAAACCAAAGGUUUUGUGAUUGUCAGCGUUUUGGUCUGGGUGUUUUGUAUUGUUUUUGUCCCUCUAUCCGUUUUACUUCAACAGGAAUUAUCCUACCUAAUCCUUAUGCUUCUGCCUUCCCCAGUUUUUGUUGUCUGUUUACUUUAUUUUCUCAAAUCACAAGCUAAAAAUAUUUCAUU
Long non-coding RNA from Cyprinodon tularosa, 289 nucleotides. RefSeq lists it as uncharacterized. The transcript is spliced from 2 exons. The record is from RefSeq and is a predicted model, not a curated record. NCBI's taxonomy places the organism in Eukaryota, Metazoa, Chordata, Actinopteri, Cyprinodontiformes, Cyprinodontidae.